RNAcentral lists this long non-coding RNA (1687 nucleotides) under Zostera marina. RNAcentral's name for it is "long non-coding RNA (ZMAR_LNC003435)". The record is from RNAcentral. Lineage: Eukaryota; Viridiplantae; Streptophyta; Magnoliopsida; Alismatales; Zosteraceae.
AUGCAAAUUAGAUUAACUAAUUAGAUUAAAAAAAUUUAAAUGAAUAAAUAUUAUUACAUUGAUCCGCAAAGCUUCUAAACUAACACCGACCUUCAAAUCAUAAAUUUGUAAAUCCGCAAAACAAACCUUCAACCUAAAAUAAACAAACACUAAAUUAAAAUGAAUUAAACCUAAAUAACAUAAAUCAUGUACACUUAAUUAUUCAAUAACUUCAAUAAUACUUAUUUCAAUUUAAAAGACAAAAAAAUAGCAAUGUCACAAAAAAUAUAAAAUAUUAAAAAUAACAGGAAAUUGGAAUGGCAGUGAAAUUGGAAUGGCAGUAAAAAAAAUCUUAAUCAUAUACUCGGGGUAUAUGGAAUGGCAGUGAAAUUCAACCUCAAAUACUCGGGGUAUUAGGUGAUCAAUUGAAUCCUUCCAAGUUCUUAUAUAACUAGCUCUGUAAUUAAUAUAAUAUAAGGUCAGUCGAUCUUUCAAAAACAUGGUAUCAAAAUCGAGUCAAUGUGAAAAGGAGACGCAUAUAGAAUCGAGUCAAUGUAAAUAAAUUUCAGGAAACCAUGCAUAUUUCUUUUUUAACUAAAACAGUAAUUAAAUAACUAAAAUAAAACAAGAAAACAUUAAAAACAAAUUUCAAACAGUAUUUAUAGAUAAAUAAAUAUAAUUCCAGUAAUAUCCCUAAUGUUUGAUAUGUAUUUAUGUUUCUAUUCUAUGCAUUAUGAAUAUGCUUGGGCCUUGGUCAUAUCAAAAAUUACAACCCUAACAACAUAACAUCCACAAAAUCAUACCCUAACUACAUAUAUAAGAUCAAAUACACAAAUCAAACACUCUUAAUAAAUAAAAUCAAAGCCCCAAUUAAAAACCCCCAAUUUCAUAAACCCUAAAUUAGAAGAAAAAAACUACAAUAACUAACAUUAUCAAUUUGGAACACUUUAACAAAUCAUAAACUCCCAAUUUCAUAAACCCUAAAUAAUGAAAUGAAUAAGAUUAAAUGAAUAAGAACAACAACAACAAAAAGAAGAGAAGAAGAAGAAGAACAAAAAUAUAUAACAAGUACAUGUAGAAGAACAUUGAAAAACAAAACUAAAUGAAGAUCAAGAAGAUACCUUGCGGAUAACCUUGGAGGAUGACCGGAGGACUGGAAGAUCGUCGGAGGGGUUUGGGGAGGGUUAGGGAAGAGUGGGGAGAAGUGGAGAGGAUUUUGGGGGAAAAGAAAAUGAAAGAAAUCUGGAAUUUUUUUUCUUAUAUAAAAAUUUUCCGGCGGCCAGGCCGCCGGGAAAUACUUAAGUUCGAGUUGACUAAGUUUGACUGUACGGGGGACCACGGCGGCGCAAGUUGUAAUUUUAGGGUUUCCAAAAAAUCCUGGCGGCCAGGCCGCCGGCUACUGAAAAAAAUAAGCGGGAAAAAGUAUCCAGCGGCCCAGCCGCCAGCUAUUUUUCUCCCGACCGUUGAGGGUUUUAGUAUGCCGGCGGCUAGGCCGCCGGAUCACUUCUUCCCGACCGUUGGGGAAAUUGGAGCUGGCGGCCAGGCCGCCGGAUAACUUUUUCCCGACCGUUGGUGAAUUGGAGCUGGCGGCCAGGCCGCUGGCAUUUUUUACAAAAAAAUAUUCCGUCGGCCUGGCCGCCAGAAAAUUUCUCUCAUUUACGAGGGAAAAUUAUGCAGGCGGACAAGUGUAACCUUCCGUCGGCCUGGC